This 253-nucleotide ribosomal RNA is filed under the name uncultured bacterium. Its description in RNAcentral is "partial 16S ribosomal RNA". It matches the Rfam family "Bacterial small subunit ribosomal RNA", at positions 524 to 776 of the family's 1533-position model. The record is from RNAcentral.
UACAGAGGUCCCAAGCGUUGUUCGGAUUCACUGGGCGUAAAGGGUGCGUAGGCGGUCGGGUAAGUCUGAUGUGAAAUCUCACAGCUUAACUGUGAAACUGCAUUGGAUACUAUCCGGCUAGAGGAAUGGAGGGGAGACUGGAAUACUUGGUGUAGCAGUGAAAUGCGUAGAUAUCAAGUGGAACACCAGUGGCGAAGGCGGCUCACUGGACCGACACUGACGCUGAGGCGCGAAAGCGUGGGGAGCAAACAGG